Non-coding RNA from Trichonephila inaurata madagascariensis, 66 nucleotides. NCBI's taxonomy places the organism in Eukaryota, Metazoa, Arthropoda, Arachnida, Araneae, Nephilidae. The record is from the annotation of a GenBank genome assembly.
CAUAGCUCAGCCAGUAAAGCACUGGUCUUGUAAACCAGGGUCGCGAGUUCGAUCUCACUGGAAAGU